This is a long non-coding RNA of Poecilia latipinna (sailfin molly), 1021 nucleotides long. RefSeq lists it as uncharacterized. Lineage: Eukaryota; Metazoa; Chordata; Actinopteri; Cyprinodontiformes; Poeciliidae. The transcript has 3 exons. The record is from RefSeq and is a predicted model, not a curated record.
AUGUGCUAACAGCAAAUGGUACACUUUUGAAUGUGUUCACCAUCUCCACCCAACUGGCACGUACCUCACAAAGAAUCAAGCGCACCCAUCCCUUUUACUUCUCAAACUCAGCAGCCAAAUCUUUAAGGUAACUUGGCUCACCUGUGCUCAGAAUGAUCUUUCUUCAAAAAACCUCAGCUGAAAGCUUCCUCAAAGACACCACUGGUUUUUAACCUACUCUGUGGCUACUCAUUGACUACUCUGUAACCUACUCAUGUGAACCACUGCUCAUGUGACCACAUGUUCAUAUGCUGUUGAUGAGAUUCAUCUAAAGAAAAGAAAAAGAAAAAAUAAAUAAAAGAUGUCACUGAGAUGAGUUGUACCUGCAUCUCUUUGGAGGAAGAAAGCCUUUUCAAGUUUGGGCAAAAGCUGAGGUGGCUUAAGAGAGCAAAAAACUUGACAGCGAUGCAUAACUAUCUGCUUUUUCCUACAUUUUCAAUUGCUUAUGUUGAUCAAAAUGUAUUGCAGAUAUUUGAUUUGUCUCAACCCCCACAACAUUUAAGAAUAAAUUUGCUGCAUAAGUCUUAAAUAUGCAAAAUGCUUGAACAAGUUGUCAAGCAUAUUUAUAUCUAUUUCAGACACCUUUUCCUAAAUCUGUCCUGAAGUGAUCAAUUGCUCCCAGGUGAAGUUUCUCCAACGUAGGAUGAGGAUUUGGACGGGGUCAGAACAGAAGAGGCAAAGGAGACAGAGGAUAUGUCCGUUUCGAUAACUUGUCCUCCUCCAUCAUCAUCAUCAGGAUAUGGUUUACGACCCACAACAGGAUGCCUCUCACCCUGCUCUCCAUUACUUUACACCACUGAGGAUUUAUUUUUCUCGGCAUGGAGAUGGAAAGUAUAUAAAGACUGCACUGUUGUCCCUACUGCAUGCAAAGUUUUUACUUAAGGAGAUGGUCUCGUGUUCCCAUUUUUUUUUCUGUGUUCUGCUUAUUGUAUCACAAUGGUGUGGUCUGUCAACAAAUUACACUAAAGGAAAUGAAUGUGAA